CUGAUGUGCUCCAGUAGCUCGGCGUAAUAUUCUCACCAAAGGAUCCUCUGCAGUGAAUGGGUGUUGUCAGAAUGAGAGUCAGAUGUCAGAAUAAGCCCAGAUGUGCUGUUGAUUCCCGCAGGAGGAUGAUGGAAGAGAGAGGCUGAGACACUUUGAUUCCCUUCUUGCAUAUUCAUGUAUGGAAUUCAGACACUUCAAUUAUUCAGCUGGAUGGAUUUUCUUAAGGAACUGUCCCAUGAACUGUCCACCUUGAACUGAAGGAAACGCUUGAGCUACUUUGCUGUAGAGCCACAAUCUGUGCAGCGAGGAGGCAGAAUCACACAGCGCACUGAGCCCAGCCUUUCACAAACAGCUGCUUGUAGUGCCACUAGAUGUAUUUUGGUGGGAAGGGGGUGGAAGCUGCUCCCUGCACUUCUCAAUGUGGCAGAAAGUGUUACCAGUUCAACAUUAAU
Long non-coding RNA from Cyprinus carpio carpio, 452 nucleotides. Lineage: Eukaryota; Metazoa; Chordata; Actinopteri; Cypriniformes; Cyprinidae. The record is from Ensembl.